AGGGCACCACCAGGAGUGGAGCCUGCGGCUUAAUUUGACUCAACACGGGAAAACUCACCCGGCCCGGACACCGUAAGGAUUGACAGACUGAGAGCUCUUUCUUAAUUCGGAGGGUGGUGGUGCAUGGCCGUUCUUAGUUGGUGGAGCGAUUUGUCUGGUUAAUUCCGAUAACGAACGAGACCCUGGCCUAUUAAAUAGACGGUAUAUCGAAAAGUAUAUCGCACUUCUUAGAGGGACAAGCGGCGUCUAGCCGCAUGAAAUAGAGCAAUAACAGGUCUGUGAUGCCCUUAGAUGUCCGGGGCUGCACGCGCGCUACACUGAAAGAAUCAGAGUGCGCUUUGCCUAGUUCGGAAGAACUGGGUAACCCAAGUAAAUUCUUUCGUACUUGGGAUAGGGAAUUGCAAUUAUUUCCCUUAAACGAGGAAUUCCCAGUAAAUGCGGGUCAUAAGCUCGCGUUGAUUACGUCCCUGCCCUUUGUACACACCGCCCGUCGCUACUACCGAUUGGAUGACUUAGUGA
RNAcentral lists this ribosomal RNA (519 nucleotides) under uncultured eukaryote. Its description in RNAcentral is "SSU rRNA". It matches the Rfam family "Eukaryotic small subunit ribosomal RNA", at positions 1161 to 1704 of the family's 1831-position model. The record is from RNAcentral.